GUACCCUCAAGCUUUGCUUGGUGUUGGGCGUUUUGUCUUUGGCUUUUGCCCCAAAGACUCGCCUUAAAACGAUUGGCAGCCGGCCUACUGGUUUCGGAGCGCAGCACAUUUUUGCGCUUGCAACCAGCUAAAGAGGCCAGCAAUCCAUCAAGACCUUCUUCUCAC
Molecule: unclassified non-coding RNA, 165 nt
Filed under: Curvularia clavata
Lineage: Eukaryota; Fungi; Ascomycota; Dothideomycetes; Pleosporales; Pleosporaceae
Also listed under: 1 other name
Description: sequence contains ITS2
Source: RNAcentral